Molecule: ribosomal RNA, 491 nt
Filed under: uncultured bacterium
Lineage: Bacteria
Description: partial 16S ribosomal RNA
Rfam family: Bacterial small subunit ribosomal RNA
Source: RNAcentral
GUGAACGCUGGCGGUAGGCCUAACACAUGCAAGUCGAACGGCAGCACAGUAAGAGCUUGCUCUUACGGGUGGCGAGUGGCGGACGGGUGAGGAAUACAUCGGAAUCUACUUUUUCGUGGGGGAUAACGUAGGGAAACUUACGCUAAUACCGCAUACGACCUACGGGUGAAAGCAGGGGAUCUUCGGACCUUGCGCGAUUGAAUGAGCCGAUGUCGGAUUAGCUAGUUGGCGGGGUAAGGGUCCACCAAGGCGACGAUCCGUAGCUGGUCUGAGAGGAUGAUCAGCCACACUGGAACUGAGACACGGUCCAGACUCCUACGGGAGGCAGCAGUGGGGAAUAUUGGACAAUGGGCGCAAGCCUGAUCCAGCCAUACCGCGUGGGUGAAGAAGGCCUUCGGGUUGUAAAGCCCUUUUGUUGGGAAAGAAAAGCAGCAGGUUAAUACCCCGCUGUUCUGACGGUACCCAAAGAAUAAGCACCGGCUAACUUCGUG